Molecule: non-coding RNA, 29 nt
Filed under: Mus musculus (house mouse)
Lineage: Eukaryota; Metazoa; Chordata; Mammalia; Rodentia; Muridae
Source: RNAcentral
UGACUAUGGCCUCCAAGUUAAUGUGUAUG